AGCUUCCGGAGUAGCUGGGACUACGGGCGCCCGCCACCACGCCCGGCUAAUUUUUUUGUGUUUUUAGUAGAGACGGGGUUUCACCGUGUUGGCCUAGCUGUUCUCAAACUCCUGACCUCGUGAUCCCCCUGCCUCAGCCUCCCAGUGCUGGGAUUACAAGCGUGAGCCACCGCGCCCGGCCAACACUCUUGACAACAGUGCUGUGCUAAGAACUUGGGGGACUUCAAACAGUUCACUAGUUCCUGUGUCCAUGGGUGAAAAGAUUUUCUACAUCUUUCUUUGACUAGAAACAGAAGUCCUGAAACAAGAAUAUAACGUCAUGAAGCCAGAGGCUUUGUCCUGCCUAAUGCGUUAUUUCCAGACUGAAUAAAAGCACCUGAGUCCUGAUAAGUCUAAUUUGUUAGGUGUGGCAAUAUGACCAGUGAAAAACAAGGGCGGCAUUUCCUGCAGUUCAGUGGCACAGUAUGGUUCAAAGAGGUAUAAAAGGAAGUCACAGGCAUUUUUAAAAGGUUGUACAUCUAGCAAUACCUAACAAAAUAGGAAAUCAACUUGGAAAGCCAAUGGCUGUGUUUUGAGUUUAUGGAGAGCCAUAUGUGGCAAGGAACUGAGGGUGGCAUUCAGGCAACAGACUUCAAGAAACUGAGGCUGUCAGUCCAACAACCCACAAGAACUGAAUCUGACCAACAAUCACAGGAAAAAACGUAGAAGUAUACUCUUUCCCAGACAAACCUUCAGAUGAGACCACAGCCCCAGCCAUAAGCUUGAAAACAAUCUCAUGAGGGACCUUGAGCCACAGGCAUGUAGCAAAGCUAUGCCAGGAAUCCUGCCUGCCCCACAGAAAGUGUAAAAAAAAUAAAUUUUUGCUGUUUUAAGCCAUGAA
RNAcentral lists this long non-coding RNA (880 nucleotides) under Pongo abelii (Sumatran orangutan). RNAcentral describes it as "lincRNA". The record is from RNAcentral. Lineage: Eukaryota; Metazoa; Chordata; Mammalia; Primates; Hominidae.